Molecule: long non-coding RNA, 365 nt
Organism: Manduca sexta (tobacco hornworm)
Lineage: Eukaryota; Metazoa; Arthropoda; Insecta; Lepidoptera; Sphingidae
Exons: 2
Source: RefSeq, a predicted model, not a curated record
UAAUGAUGUCAGUGACAUAGGAUUGUUGCCAAUUGCUGUUGUCUGUGAUCAGGGCACAGCAUUUCAAUCUGCCCUAAAUAGUCUACAAGAAGACACACGGAGAGAACAAUUGAUUAAAGGCCGAAAAAUUGAUAAUGUUAUCUCCCUCAAGGGACAUGCAAUCAGCAUAAUUUACGACCCACCAUCUCAUAAAGGGGUGAAGAAAUAAUUUUUUGACAAAAAAUAUAAAAUAUGAAAAUAAAAUUUCUAAAUGGGAUGAUAUUGUAGAUAUAUAUAAAACAGACUGCAACCACGUACAGAUAAGGCUGUUACACAAGUUAAAUGAUGAACAUGUGAUUCCAGAGAAAAUAAAAAAGAUGAAGGUA